RNAcentral lists this ribosomal RNA (466 nucleotides) under uncultured bacterium. Its description in RNAcentral is "partial 16S ribosomal RNA". It matches the Rfam family "Bacterial small subunit ribosomal RNA", at positions 28 to 507 of the family's 1533-position model. The record is from RNAcentral.
GACGAACGCUGGCGGCGCGCCUAACACAUGCAAGUCGAACGAGCGAGAGAGAGCUUGCUUUCUUGAGCGAGUGGCGAACGGGUGAGUAACGCGUGAGGAACCUGCCUCAAAGAGGGGGACAACAGUUGGAAACGACUGCUAAUACCGCAUAAGCCCACGACCCGGCAUCGGGUUGAGGGAAAAGGAGCAAUCCGCUUUGAGAUGGCCUCGCGUCCGAUUAGCUAGUUGGUGAGGUAACGGCCCACCAAGGCGACGAUCGGUAGCCGGACUGAGAGGGUGAACGGCCACAUUGGGACUGAGACACGGCCCAGACUCCUACGGGAGGCAGCAGUGGGGAAUAUUGCACAAUGGGGGAAACCCUGAUGCAGCGACGCCGCGUGGAGGAAGAAGGUCUUCGGAUUGUAAACUCCUGUUGUUGAGGAAGAUAAUGACGGUACUCAACAAGGAAGUGACGGCCAACUACGUG